This 100-nucleotide non-coding RNA is filed under the name Mesorhizobium ventifaucium. Its description in RNAcentral is "PYLIS_3". It matches the Rfam family "Pyrrolysine insertion sequence mttB". Lineage: Bacteria; Pseudomonadati; Pseudomonadota; Alphaproteobacteria; Hyphomicrobiales; Phyllobacteriaceae. The record is from RNAcentral.
AUGACGGAUUCGAAGCUGCCCGACAUUCAGUCCGGUUACGAAAAGGGCAUCACUGACGUGAUGGCCGGCCUUGCCGGCCUCAACCUUGUCUAUGAAUCGG